AAAGUGCUGGGAUUACAGGCAUGAGCCACUGGCACAUAUACUUUGUACAAGUGCUUGUCGAAGUUCUUUGCUGCCAGAGCUGUGGCUGACCACAUUGCUUCCCCCAUGAAUAUGUGAAAACUGAUGCUUCAGGAGAAUUGGUGGCUUACCUGUGGCAUUCAACUAGUGGGUUAUGGAGCAGAGACUCAAACCCAGCCCUCACUCCCACAGCACUCUUCUUUUCCUGUAAAUCGCUGACUUACUCAGUUGAUCACAGUCGAUUGCCGUUUACAGAUGUGUCUGCACCCAUUGUGCCUUUUAAGCGUAGCUUUUCUCUCCUGAACGCACACAGAGCAAAGCACGGGCUCCGCAGUGUGACCCACGUGUGCCGAGUGGAUGGAUGAUGCCGGUCAGCAGGUGGGAAAAGGAUCUGCUGGGCGCCGAGGGGCAGAGGAUUGGUUUUCCUGAUCUUGGUAUGAAAACGGUGUUAAGUUCUUAGUCAUUGAGGAAAAUCACUCUUCGCCCAAAUUCCUGAGAAGGCCGAUGAGAUUGUUAUCUAAGAUUUGUUGGAUUGCUGGAUUUGUUGAGGGGAGAAAUGGAAGAAGCUGUCAGAAGUGUACAGGGCGUCAGAGGGAGGCCCUCCCUUUGGGCACUUUCUCCCCCAAAACUAUCCUGGUUUUAGCCCAACAGGUUCCUGCCCCCCUCCACCAGCCUCACUUGUUUAAAGACUAUUAAAGAAUGUCUGCAAUUUAUUCUGGAUUGAGUUUUCCUCCAAACAAAGCAACUCCCAGUUCACCCCCUAGAGUUGUUCAGGCCCUUCCAGGGGGCUUGUGGCUGUGGCUGCCUUGGAUCAGAACAGACUCAGGGCUGCAUCAUCCUUCUUCAUUGUCCCUCUACAGCACCUGAAGCCAGCUGUUCUCAAACUUUAGAGAGUGUUUGAGCCACCUGGAGAGCUGAUAAAGAACAGAGGCCUGGGCUGGUUUGAGCCCAGGCUGACUGAAGUUGAAGAGUGCUGGGCCGUUGUGUUUUUACUGAGUUCCCUGGAUGGUUCUGAUACCUCCCAGCCUGUGAGAACCACUUCUUUGUGAUUUCUUGCCUUUGAAAUUUUUUCUAACCUUCUUCUUCGUCUUUUUUUUUUUUUUUUUUUUUUUGAGAUGGAGUCUUUCUCUGUCACCAGGCUGGAGUGCAGUGGCC
Sapajus apella (tufted capuchin) is the source of this 1173-nucleotide long non-coding RNA. RefSeq lists it as uncharacterized. The record is from RefSeq and is a predicted model, not a curated record. Lineage: Eukaryota; Metazoa; Chordata; Mammalia; Primates; Cebidae. The transcript has 3 exons.